This 95-nucleotide non-coding RNA is filed under the name Actinomadura madurae. RNAcentral describes it as "Glycine sequence". It matches the Rfam family "Glycine riboswitch aptamer". Rfam says of the family: This family represents the bacterial glycine riboswitch. Glycine riboswitches usually consist of two metabolite-binding aptamers domains with similar structures in tandem. The aptamers cooperatively bind glycine to regulate the expression of downstream genes. The record is from Rfam by way of RNAcentral. Lineage: Bacteria; Bacillati; Actinomycetota; Actinomycetes; Streptosporangiales; Thermomonosporaceae.
CGACCCUGUGCGGGAGAGACCCCACGCCGCCAGCGUGGGGCGCCGAAGGGGCAACCUCCCCGGAACCUCUCAGGCAAAAGGACCGCGCGGGCGAG